Molecule: ribosomal RNA, 484 nt
Filed under: uncultured bacterium
Lineage: Bacteria
Description: partial 16S ribosomal RNA
Rfam family: Bacterial small subunit ribosomal RNA
Source: RNAcentral
AUUGAACGCUGGCGGCAGGCCUAACACAUGCAAGUCGAGCGGAUGAAGGGAGCUUGCUCCUGGAUUCAGCGGCGGACGGGUGAGUAAUUCCUAGGAAUCUGCCUGGUAGUGGGGGAUAACGUCCUGAAACGGGCGCUAAUACCGCAUACGUCCUGAGGGCGAAAGGGGGGGAUCUUGGGACCUCCCGCUAUCGGAUGAGCCUAGGUCGGAUUAGCUAGUUGGUGGGGUAAAGGCGUACCAAGGCGACGAUCCGUAACUGGUCUGAGAGGAUGAUCAGUCACACUGGAACUGAGACACGGUCCAGACUCCUACGGGAGGCAGCAGUGGGGAAUAUUGGACAAUGGGCGCAAGCCUGAUCCAGCCAUGCCGCGUGUGUGAAGAAGGUCUUCGGAUUGUAAAGCCCUUUAAGCUGGGAGGAAGAGCAGUAAGUUAAUACCUUGCUGUUUUGACGUUACCAACAGAAUAAGCACCGGCUAACUUCGUG